CACGUAGGGUGCGAGCGUUGUCCGGAAUUAUUGGGCGUAAAGGGCUCGUAGGCGGUCCAUCGCGUCGGGAGUGAAAAGCUGGGGCUUAACCCCAGUCCUGCUUUCGAUACGGGUGGACUAGAGGUAGGCAGGGGAGAAUGGAAUUCCUGGUGUAGCGGUGAAAUGCGCAGAUAUCAGGAGGAACACCGGUGGCGAAGGCGGCAUCCUGGACCGGUAUUGACGCUGAGGAGCGAAAGCCAGGGGAGCAAACGGG
Molecule: ribosomal RNA, 253 nt
Filed under: uncultured bacterium
Lineage: Bacteria
Description: partial 16S ribosomal RNA
Rfam family: Bacterial small subunit ribosomal RNA
Source: RNAcentral